GCGUCCCUGCGCUGUUUGUGAUGUCGGGGGAAAGUUUCAACCUCGGAAACACAACGGGAGCUGUGACAGAGGGUGGUGCGCAAGCCCCUCCGAGAAGGGGAAGCCUGAAGCCCUCUUAAUUAACGGCGCCCACCUGGUCAAGCCAGGUUCGAAACACCGUCGGCACACGGCAGAGGCGGGGAUUUG
Molecule: non-coding RNA, 186 nt
Organism: Candidatus Rokubacteria bacterium 13_1_20CM_70_15
Lineage: Bacteria; Candidatus Rokuibacteriota
Source: Rfam